CCAUACUAGCUGGGGAGUUAGCGGUGCCUUGUGAUCUACAAUCCGCUUUAGUAGAGGUGAAGAUCGGUCUAAGGGUUAGAUUGGUAUAGCAGUUGCUAUAUUAUUGAUGUUGAGAAUAAAGUCCUGUACGGCGAAUAGAUAGAGAACCGUGUCAGGUCCGGAAGGAAGCAGCACUAAUUUAUUUUAUUUGGGUGUUACGGGGUAGCUUUAUUUGAGUUGAUAUAUAGAGGGGCGUAUAUUGAUUUUUAUUCGAAGGCCGAUGUAUGG
This 267-nucleotide signal recognition particle RNA is filed under the name Fusobacteriota bacterium. RNAcentral's name for it is "Fusobacteria bacterium (anaerobic digester metagenome) signal recognition particle sRNA large type". It matches the Rfam family "Bacterial large signal recognition particle RNA". Rfam says of the family: The signal recognition particle (SRP) is a universally conserved ribonucleoprotein involved in the co-translational targeting of proteins to membranes. The record is from RNAcentral. Lineage: Bacteria; Fusobacteriati; Fusobacteriota.